CAGACACGCAACAGAAAGCAGCUUGAGAUACAGUCUGGAAUUUCUCCAGAGAAUUUCACUGUGGAAGUCAGUCCAGGCAUUCAGUGGAAUAAGUGAUAUAGCAGAGAGAACACUGGAUCUGCACUGAGACUCAAGAGGUUCACUGCAGAGUUUGCCUUGAGCUUCAGAAGACUUUGAACUUGAGUUUUUAGCCCAUAUUGGAGCAACUUGGAGAUGGAGUGAAUGAAUUUUACAUUGUGAGAAGAGCAUCAGUUUUGCAGGCCACGGGAGGAAUGCUGUAGUUUGGAUACUAUCUGUCUCCACAAAGGAACUGUGAACCAUCAGUACCAUGUAAACAGUCAAGUUGUUUCUGCAACCAUACAGCAAAAUGGGAAGAACCAAAAUUUGCAAUUAGUUAUAGCCUGCACUCAUAGCUUAUUCACGUCAGAGAUACCAGAAUUUCAG
Heterocephalus glaber (naked mole-rat) is the source of this 444-nucleotide long non-coding RNA. The record is from Ensembl. Lineage: Eukaryota; Metazoa; Chordata; Mammalia; Rodentia; Bathyergidae.